CGCUUAAACAUAUCCACCCGAGAUGUUCCGGGUUUUUUCAUGUAACUGAAUGGACGUAACGAGUUCAGUGUCUUAUAUUUUGGAGUUGUUUCUAAAAUGGUUCACUACCAAAGUGACCCAAGUCUUUGAGUUAAUUUUGCCUCGUUUUGACUUCAUUUCCUACAAGACAUAACCAUACGGGUUUGUGUCGAAAGGUCUAUUUUGCAGGUCCAACCACAGCGAAGAUGUUGCACCGGAGAUCUUAUUCUGGAGGGGUUGUUGCAGUCGCGUUAAAUGGGAUGUUCUGCCUUCUGUUCAGCGUCAGUUACGCCCAAGAAUGCGGAAAUAUGGGCGGAGUUUGCCAGAACAACGCAGAAUGUAGGCAACUAAAUGCCGACCAGUUCUACUGCAGCUGCUCGGGGGCGUGGACAGGAGAGUUCUGUGACCAAGUGAAUUAUUGCUACAAUGUUCCAUGCAACAAUAUGGGAAUCUGUUACAACUUGGAGACAACGUACCGAUGCGAUUGCGCGGAUGGAUUCAGCGGUGUUGACUGUGGCAUACCUCUUCAACAAGAAGAUGCGUGUUCUCCAAGCCCCUGCCAGAACGGCGGCGAAUGUCUGCUUCAAGCCAAUGAUCCUACCCAGGCGUUGUGUCUCUGCUCGGAGGCUUUUUCUGGCCCUCAGUGCGAGAGAGACAAUCCGUGUUUUCCCCAGCCUUGUCAAAAUGGUGGCACUUGCACGGCAUCCGAAACUAGCUUCUCCUGCGCAUGCGCAGAUGGAUAUACAGGAACCCAAUGCCAAUCAGUUGCCAUCGACCCCUGUGGCUCCUCCCCCUGUUUGAAUAACGGGAUUUGCCAGAGUGUUGGUAACGACUACAUCUGCACGUGUGACACUCUCCACAGCGGCAAGAACUGUGAAACAAAGAUAAAACCGUGCGACAACGACCCCUGCCAAAAUGGUGGCGGGUGCUUCAACCGCGUGGAUGACAACACGUACUUCUGCGUCUGCCCCGCCAACUUCACCGGAGAGAACUGUGAAGAGGAUUUGAAACCUUGCCAAGCCAUCCCCUGUCAGAACGGUGGACUGUGUUACAACUUGGGGAACAACCUCGAUUACGUGUGUGUGUGCACCAGUGGCUUCAUGGGUACCAACUGCGAGAGGGAUGACCCCUGUCUCCCCCAGCCUUGUUUUAACGGGGGCGUGUGUUCGUAUAUCGGCUUCUCGUUCAGCUGCACUUGUGCAAAUGGCUACACCGGACCCCAGUGUGAAAUUCCACCUCCUCAUCCGUGCGACGAAGGGCUUAAUCCCUGCUUAAACGACGGCCAGUGCUCCUCUAAUGAUGGUCUCACGGCAGUUUGUGCCUGUGUGAACGGCUUCACUGGAUCACAAUGCGAAACGGUGCCCCCUUGUCACGACACCAUCAACCCAUGUCAGAACGGAGCGACGUGUGUAGAACAGAACUCAGCAGCGGUGUGCAUCUGCGUGGACCAUUAUGUCGGAGAUCGUUGCCAACAAGAGGGUCCUUGCCACGAAAACGUCAACCCUUGUCUGAACGGAGCAACCUGCGUGGAGAUGAACUCCGCGGCAUUUUGUCGGUGCACCGACGGCUUUGUCGGUGAUCGUUGCGAGAGAGACCUUCCCUGUAACGAUCAGGUCAACCCGUGUCAGAACGGUGCUGUGUGUGUCAACGUGAACGACACCAUCGCACACUGCGUGUGUUUCAACCGUUUUAGCGGCCUGUACUGUGAACUUGAACCUGCAGUUCACCCGUGCAACGAGACCGUCAAUCCGUGUCAAAAUGGCGCCACUUGCUUUCCCAUGAACGACGUCACCGCUAUAUGUGUAUGCAUCGAUGGGUACUCGGGCCAGCACUGUGAAAUUGACCCGCCAGCCCCACCCUGUCAUGAGAGUGUCAACCCGUGUCAGAACGGCGCAACUUGCACGGAAUUGGAUAGCACCACAGCGAUGUGCGUCUGCAUCGAUGGAUUUCGUGGAGAGCACUGCGACCAACUGGGCCCUUGUCACGAAAGCAUCGACCCUUGUCAGAACGGAGCGACAUGCUUAGAACAGAAUUCAGCAGCACUAUGCAUCUGCGUGGACCAUUAUGUCGGUGAUUAUUGUGAGCAAGUGGGCCCUUGCCACGAAAGCGUCGAUCCUUGUCUGAACGGAGCAACGUGCAUGGAGAUGAACUCGGCAGCAGUGUGCCGUUGCACCAACGACUUUGUCGGCGACCGUUGCGAGAGAGUCCCACCGUGCCAUACCACCGUUGAUCCCUGUCUAAACGGGGCGACCUGCAUCGAGAAAGAAAGCUCCACUUUCAUGUGCGUCUGCGCUGGAGACUACAUUGGCGAACACUGCGACCAAGUCCCCCCGUGUCAUGAUUCUGUCAACCCCUGUCUGAACGGGGCUACUUGCACGGAGACGGGAGGUCUUCCAGAAGUGGCCUGUCUUUGUGUGGGUGGCCAUACCGGACUGUACUGUGAGAUUCCCCCAGACGAUCCAUGCGAUCCAAAUCCAUGUCAGAACGACGGGUUGUGCCAAGGUGAUCUCAUCACAGGCAUUCACUCAUGCACGUGCUCGGCAAACUUCUACGGCGCGAACUGUGAAACCGUGGUUCCUAACAAUUGUGAGAGCAAUCCAUGUGUCAACAACGGAACCUGUUACUCGGGUAAAGAAAUGAAUGGGUAUGUGUGCACAUGCGUGGAUGGAUACACCGGUCUCAACUGCGAGUUGGAGACAUGUAGAAGAAUACCAUGCCAAAACGAAGGUGUCUGCGUGACGGCUGAAAGCCACGACUACUGUGAGUGUAGGGAAGGCUGGACGGGGUCACAGUGCCAGACAAGUGAAACAAGUCACAUGCGAAGUCAACACCUGCCAGAACGACGGUACCUGCCUGGUGCUCGAUAAUGUGCUGGUAUGCCGGUGCAAAGGAAUUUACUACGGAUCACGCUGUGAACGGAGUAACAAAAACUCAAAUUCUGAUGCACUGUCUUUCCACAAGAGGAGUUCAAGUACAAUGAAGGUCGUCAGUCUCCUCACCCUCGUUACUA
RNAcentral lists this unclassified non-coding RNA (3028 nucleotides) under Acanthaster planci (crown-of-thorns starfish). RNAcentral describes it as "neurogenic locus notch homolog protein 1-like, transcript variant X2". Lineage: Eukaryota; Metazoa; Echinodermata; Asteroidea; Valvatida; Acanthasteridae. The record is from RNAcentral.